RNAcentral lists this ribosomal RNA (481 nucleotides) under uncultured bacterium. RNAcentral describes it as "partial 16S ribosomal RNA". It matches the Rfam family "Bacterial small subunit ribosomal RNA", at positions 28 to 507 of the family's 1533-position model. The record is from RNAcentral.
GAUGAACGCUGGCGGCGGGCUUAACACAUGCAAGUCGAACGAAGCACUUUAUUUGAUUUCCUUCGGGACUGAUUAUUUUGUGACUGAGUGGCGGACGGGUGAGUAACGCGGGGGUAACCUGCCUUGUACAGGGGGAUAACAGUUGGAAACGGCUGCGAAUACCGCAUAAGCGCACAGCAUCGCAUGAUUCAGUGUGAAAAACUCCGGUGGUAUAAGAUGGACCCGCGUUGGAUUAGCUAGUUGGUGAGGUAACGGCCCACCAAGGCGACGAUCCAUAGCCGACCUGAGAGGGUGACCGGCCACAUUGGGACUGAGACACGGCCCAAAAUACUACGGGAGGCAGCAGUGGGGAAUAUUGCACAAUGGGCGAAAGCCUGAUGCAGCGACGCCGCGUGAGCGAAGAAGUAUUUCGGUAUGUAAAGCUCUAUAAGCAGGGAAGAUAAUGACGGUACCUGACGAAGAAGCACCGGCUAAAUACGUG